Molecule: ribosomal RNA, 253 nt
Filed under: uncultured bacterium
Lineage: Bacteria
Description: partial 16S ribosomal RNA
Rfam family: Bacterial small subunit ribosomal RNA
Source: RNAcentral
UACGGAGGGUGCAAGCGUUAAUCGGAAUUACUGGGCGUAAAGGGUGCGUAGGCGGUUGUGCAAGUCGCGUGUGAAAGCCCCCGGCUCAACUGGGGAGGGUCACGCGAUACUGUUCGACUUGAAGGCAGGAGAGGGAAGUGGAAUUCCCGGUGUAGUGGUGAAAUGCGUAGAUAUCGGGAGGAACACCAGUGGCGAAGGCGACUUCCUGGCCUGUUCUUGACGCUGAGGCGCGAAAGCUAGGGUAGCAAACGGG